Molecule: ribosomal RNA, 253 nt
Filed under: uncultured bacterium
Lineage: Bacteria
Description: partial 16S ribosomal RNA
Rfam family: Bacterial small subunit ribosomal RNA
Source: RNAcentral
UACAGAGGUCCCAAGCGUUGUUCGGAUUCAUUGGGCGUAAAGCGCGCGUAGGCGGUCUGUUAAGUGGGAUGUGAAAUCCCCGGGCUUAACCUGGGAAUUGCAUUUCAAACUGGCCGACUAGAGUACGGUAGAGGGAGGUAGAAUUUCCUGUGUAGCGGUGAAAUGCGUAGAUAUAGGAAGGAAUACCAGUGGCGAAGGCGGCCUCCUGGAUCGAUACUGACGCUGAGGCGCGAAAGCGUGGGGAGCAAACAGG